GGGGCUGUUUAGGUUUCGAUAUUCAUAAAAAUGACAAGUGUGAUGCAAGUAGAGGACCACUAACCUCUUAAAAAAAUGAAAAAAAAAAGAAAUGCAAACAAAAUUCUAUCUUUUAACCGAGUAAGAUUAGCUGUAUAAGCGAAAUAAACUCCUUAUCUACUUA
Molecule: small RNA, 163 nt
Filed under: Pavlova gyrans
Lineage: Eukaryota; Haptophyta; Pavlovophyceae; Pavlovales; Pavlovaceae
Description: partial transfer-messenger RNA
Source: RNAcentral